UCAAAAUAGUCUAACUAAUAAUGCAUGUUUAAUUCAAGCAAAAUACUAAUCUGUGCAAUUAACCUAAAAUUAUUAACACCUAUAUAUUAAGAACUAAUCUGCAGAUGUGAAUUUUUGCAGUAUAACACAGGUUCAGCUUGACAUUAAACUUGAUUUCAAAAUCAAAUCCAAAUCCAACUGUUUCUUAUUCUUCCCUUUAAAACAGAAAUAAACGCUAAACUAAACAUGUACUAACUAUACGAAAACCAUAGCUAGAUGAUCACAAGUUUAAACAAUCCAAAAAAAAAAGUCUAGUUAAGUACAUAUGAAAACCUACUGAAAUCCCAAACUAUACUAGCAGCAUAAACUAAACCAAACUGCUAAACUACAGAGUUCUCAUGCUCCCAGGGAUACAUUUAAUUAGUUUAAUACUCUUCAAGUUAAAACAGUCCAUAGUUAUUAUAAUGAACUACAAUAUAGUCACUGAACAAUUAAAAAGACCAACUCAACAGAGAUAGGCCUCCACUUCAUUUCAUUUCCAGCUGAAUGUUUACAUAGUAUUGAGUUUCAUGAUUAAGUACAUGGAAAUUACAAAUAAGAAGGGAGAAAAGAGAAGUCAGCAGCAACAAAGGUAACACCAGCAGCAAGUCAGACUUAAAUCUGUGGCACAACCAGUUUUCAACUCAGAAACACAUUCAAGCGGCCCAGAAGGAGUUGCAAAAAUCAAUAGCAACAGCAAACACACAAAACAAACUCAAUUGAAUUCGAAUGCACCCAAAAUUGAACCAAUAGAUCUCAGAAGAAGCUCCAGCACAUCAAAACUAGGCUAGAAGAUCAAAGUCACUCAAAAUGGGACCAAUAGACUUCAAAAAAAAAAAACUUCAGCAUAUCAAAAUUAGGCUAAAAGAUCAAAAUUAACUACUGACAUUCGAAAUUGACCUAAAAAUUCAAUGGAAUAGUAUUUUUGAGUUUUUCUUCUAUUUUUCUUUUUUUGUUUGGUUUUUUGAAGGUUUUGAGAUUUGAAAUUCAAAUUAUGAAGAUCAGAUCUGCAGAAUGAUUUUUGGGGGGGAGUUUUUGGAGCUCAAAACUUGGGAUUUAAGGCAUUGGUGAUGCCUUUUUAUAGGCAAAAUGAGGUGCAACUUUCAGAUUUUCUGUUUUCCUUUUUAAUCCCUCACUUAUUUCAUAUUAGUCCUCUUGCUUAUUGACUUGUUUCUCAAGUUAACACCCUAAAUUUCUAAAGAUCUACCUAAAGUCCUAUUGUAGAAGAUUCUAGCAUAACCUACAUCAUUCUAACCCAUUUAAAAUUCCUAAAUUACCCCUGAAUUUAUUUUGAAAUUACUACCCUAAUACUUCAAACUCCUUUACCCUAGUUAAAUUUAACUAUGGUUAAUCAAUAGACUAGAUUAUUCAGAUAUAUCCAACCAAGUUCAAGACUCUAAAUUGAAUUAUCAAAACUAAACAAAACUACAAAUUAAUCUUAACUCAACUUUACCAAAUCCAUUAAUUAAUUCAAACACUUAAAUAAACUAAACUAAACAACUAACACAAAAUUAAUUAUUAAAAGCCCAACUAAUCCUAAUAAAACUACAACCAGACGAGAAAACUAUUAUUAGCAGAAGAAAACAAAUACACCAAAAUUAACAGGAAAUCCAAUUAAACUAACCAUUGAUGGCUUGUACUAAUUAGACUGACAUUUAAUCGUUUAAACUAACAAAAGUAAAACAAAGGUUAGAUCAGAAUUGAACUAAACCAAAAAAAAAAAAAUCAACACAACAAAACUAACUAUCAAUGAAAGCAUGAUUUGAACUAAUAAGGACUAAACUAAUGAGAAUAAUAAAAUUGAAAAGAAAACUUAAUGAUUUCAAGCCUUCGACUCGACUAACUUCUCAUUUGGUUAUCAAAUAAUAUUAUGUGCUUGUUCUCUCCAAGAACAAUAACGUAAUAUAAUUUGCAACCAAUUGAGCCCUUGAUUAAUUCUAGAAAUUCCAAAGAAGUAGGCAAAAAACCCUAGAUCUGAAAUUCGCUCAAUUCCACUCAGAUUCGAGAGGUUUUAUUUAGGGAUUCGGAACGAGGAUGCCCAGGGGACUAUGGGUACGAUUUUGACAAGAUAUCGAAGGAUCGGAAAUUUCAAAUUAAUAUUCGAGACGUUCCGAUCGGAUUCUAGGGAAAUGAUUUAGAUAUUUAGGAUGAGGGGGUUGAGACGGUGCUGUGGUGUUAAUUUGGUCGAGUUUGGGAAAUGUGGUGUUCUGACCGGAGAAUUUCGAUUGAAGAUUCGAAGAGAUUGGUAUGGAUUCGAAGGAAAUUGUUUUGAGGGUUGGAAAGAGAAGAGAAAGAGGUUUCUAGGGUAUAUUUUUUGGGUGGGAAAGGAGGCCGACCGCCACCGGGAGAAUAUUUUCGGAGGUGGCGUUACUAGGUCUGUAAAUAGGGCGAUCGGAGACAAAAAUCUGGGGGUGGGUGGGGUUAUCUGACCGUUAAAUACCAAAAAUACCCCCACUUCCCAGCCGUUGGAUUAAGAAUCCUCGACGGCUAGGAUCUGUUUGGAUCCAAAACGGUGUCGUUUAGUUCCAGGGGGCAGGACGGGUUCUUGGGUGUUUGGGCCGGCUUAUUGGACGGGUAAUUGGUUCGAUUUUAAAGUCAUUUGGACUGAAUUGGUCCAAGUUCAAC
Molecule: long non-coding RNA, 2643 nt
Filed under: Nicotiana benthamiana
Lineage: Eukaryota; Viridiplantae; Streptophyta; Magnoliopsida; Solanales; Solanaceae
Description: long non-coding RNA (NBEN_LNC018927)
Source: RNAcentral